This 239-nucleotide long non-coding RNA is filed under the name Helianthus annuus (common sunflower). RNAcentral's name for it is "sRNA HanXRQr2_Chr02g0047081". The record is from RNAcentral. Lineage: Eukaryota; Viridiplantae; Streptophyta; Magnoliopsida; Asterales; Asteraceae.
UAUAUGUGGGUAUAAAUACAUAAAUGAUAUAAAAAACUGAUGUACACGUACAACUCAUACACAUAAACCAACAUGUACAUAUUUGUAAGUAGUUGGCACAUACAUGAAUGAUGCACGUAACAAACUAGUAAAACUAGUAGUUUGUUGAGUUCACCUAAUUAUCAUGUGCAAUACUAGUACUAGAAUUGUAACCAUCAUAAUAUCGAAUGCAUGCGAUAACAUACCACCGCAACGCACGG